GAUAAAACUAUGAAAAAGUAAAAGAAAUAUUUAUAAAUGUCAAUAUGGGUUGUUAGAUAACACUCAUGAAAUCCAAGGGAAGAGAUGCUUCACUUUCUUAUGAGGUCUCUUCAUAUUUGCUCAAAGGUCAAGAAGCUCCAAAUGCUCCCACUGGUUGUUAGAUCCUGAAGCAGCUACUUUGACUAAUGAAAAAACAGUGACACCUUCCUUCUCAGUGCAAUUGCCAAGCAUUUCCACCAUAUCAUAGUUGUGUAUCAUAUCAUUUAAAGUUAGCACAUUCCAUUUAGGAGACCAAUGCAUGUACAGACCCCAAAC
RNAcentral lists this unclassified non-coding RNA (315 nucleotides) under Hevea brasiliensis (rubber tree). The record is from RNAcentral. Lineage: Eukaryota; Viridiplantae; Streptophyta; Magnoliopsida; Malpighiales; Euphorbiaceae.